Molecule: ribosomal RNA, 2540 nt
Filed under: Escherichia coli
Lineage: Bacteria; Pseudomonadati; Pseudomonadota; Gammaproteobacteria; Enterobacterales; Enterobacteriaceae
Description: partial 23S ribosomal RNA
Rfam family: Bacterial large subunit ribosomal RNA
Source: RNAcentral
GCGGGACACGUGGUAUCCUGUCUGAAUAUGGGGGGACCAUCCUCCAAGGCUAAAUACUCCUGACUGACCGAUAGUGAACCAGUACCGUGAGGGAAAGGCGAAAAGAACCCCGGCGAGGGGAGUGAAAAAGAACCUGAAACCGUGUACGUACAAGCAGUGGGAGCCUCUUAAUGGGGUGACUGCGUACCUUUUGUAUAAUGGGUCAGCGACUUAUAUUCUGUAGCAAGGUUAACCGAAUAGGGGAGCCGAAGGGAAACCGAGUCUUAACUGGGCGUUAAGUUGCAGGGUAUAGACCCGAAACCCGGUGAUCUAGCCAUGGGCAGGUUGAAGGUUGGGUAACACUAACUGGAGGACCGAACCGACUAAUGUUGAAAAAUUAGCGGAUGACUUGUGGCUGGGGGUGAAAGGCCAAUCAAACCGGGAGAUAGCUGGUUCUCCCCGAAAGCUAUUUAGGUAGCGCCUCGUGAAUUCAUCUCCGGGGGUAGAGCACUGUUUCGGCAAGGGGGUCAUCCCGACUUACCAACCCGAUGCAAACUGCGAAUACCGGAGAAUGUUAUCACGGGAGACACACGGCGGGUGCUAACGUCCGUCGUGAAGAGGGAAACAACCCAGACCGCCAGCUAAGGUCCCAAAGUCAUGGUUAAGUGGGAAACGAUGUGGGAAGGCCCAGACAGCCAGGAUGUUGGCUUAGAAGCAGCCAUCAUUUAAAGAAAGCGUAAUAGCUCACUGGUCGAGUCGGCCUGCGCGGAAGAUGUAACGGGGCUAAACCAUGCACCGAAGCUGCGGCAGCGACACUAUGUGUUGUUGGGUAGGGGAGCGUUCUGUAAGCCUGUGAAGGUGGCCUGUGAGGGUUGCUGGAGGUAUCAGAAGUGCGAAUGCUGACAUAAGUAACGAUAAAGCGGGUGAAAAGCCCGCUCGCCGGAAGACCAAGGGUUCCUGUCCAACGUUAAUCGGGGCAGGGUGAGUCGACCCCUAAGGCGAGGCCGAAAGGCGUAGUCGAUGGGAAACAGGUUAAUAUUCCUGUACUUGGUGUUACUGCGAAGGGGGGACGGAGAAGGCUAUGUUGGCCGGGCGACGGUUGUCCCGGUUUAAGCGUGUAGGCUGGUUUUCCAGGCAAAUCCGGAAAACCAAGGCUGAGGCGUGAUGACGAGGCACUACGGUGCUGAAGCGACAAAUGCCCUGCUUCCAGGAAAAGCCUCUAAGCAUCAGGUAACAUCAAAUCGUACCCCAAACCGACACAGGUGGUCAGGUAGAGAAUACCAAGGCGCUUGAGAGAACUCGGGUGAAGGAACUAGGCAAAAUGGUGCCGUAACUUCGGGAGAAGGCACGCUGAUAUGUAGGUGAAGCGACUUGCUCGUGGAGCUGAAAUCAGUCGAAGAUACCAGCUGGCUGCAACUGUUUAUUAAAAACACAGCACUGUGCAAACACGAAAGUGGACGUAUACGGUGUGACGCCUGCCCGGUGCCGGAAGGUUAAUUGAUGGGGUUAGCGGUAACGCGAAGCUCUUGAUCGAAGCCCCGGUAAACGGCGGCCGUAACUAUAACGGUCCUAAGGUAGCGAAAUUCCUUGUCGGGUAAGUUCCGACCUGCACGAAUGGCGUAAUGAUGGCCAGGCUGUCUCCACCCGAGACUCAGUGAAAUUGAACUCGCUGUGAAGAUGCAGUGUACCCGCGGCAAGACGGAAAGACCCCGUGAACCUUUACUAUAGCUUGACACUGAACAUUGAGCCUUGAUGUGUAGGAUAGGUGGGAGGCUUUGAAGUGUGGACGCCAGUCUGCAUGGAGCCGACCUUGAAAUACCACCCUUUAAUGUUUGAUGUUCUAACGUUGGCCCCUAAUCGGGGUUGCGGACAGUGUCUGGUGGGUAGUUUGACUGGGGCGGUCUCCUCCUAAAGAGUAACGGAGGAGCACGAAGGUUGGCUAAUCCUGGUCGGACAUCAGGAGGUUAGUGCAAUGGCAUAAGCCAGCUUGACUGCGAGCGUGACGGCGCGAGCAGGUGCGAAAGCAGGUCAUAGUGAUCCGGUGGUUCUGAAUGGAAGGGCCAUCGCUCAACGGAUAAAAGGUACUCCGGGGAUAACAGGCUGAUACCGCCCAAGAGUUCAUAUCGACGGCGGUGUUUGGCACCUCGAUGUCGGCUCAUCACAUCCUGGGGCUGAAGUAGGUCCCAAGGGUAUGGCUGUUCGCCAUUUAAAGUGGUACGCGAGCUGGGUUUAGAACGUCGUGAGACAGUUCGGUCCCUAUCUGCCGUGGGCGCUGGAGAACUGAGGGGGGCUGCUCCUAGUACGAGAGGACCGGAGUGGACGCAUCACUGGUGUUCGGGUUGUCAUGCCAAUGGCACUGCCCGGUAGCUAAAUGCGGAAGAGAUAAGUGCUGAAAGCAUCUAAGCACGAAACUUGCCCCGAGAUGAGUUCUCCCUGAGACUUAGAGUCUCCUGAAGGAACGUUGAAGACGACGACGUUGAUAGGCCGGGUGUGUAAGCGCAGCGAUGCGUUGAGCUAACCGGUACUAAUGAACCGUGAGGCUUAACCUUACAACGCCGAAG